GGUCCCUACGGGGGGCAGCAGUGAGGAAUAUUGGUCAAUGGCCGGAAGGCUGAACCAGCCAAGCCGCGUGAAGGACGAAGGUGCCAAGCAUUGUAAACUUCUUUUGUCAAGGGACAAAAUCAGGCUCGAGAGCCUGACCGAGGGUACUUGAAGAAAAAGCAUCGGCUAACUCCGUGCCAGCAGCCGCGGUAAUACGGAGGAUGCGAGCGUUAUCCGGAUUUAUUGGGUGUAAAGGGUGCGUAGACGGGAAUGCAAGUUGGUUGUGAAAUCCCUCGGCUUAACUGAGGAACUGCAACCAAAACUAC
This 305-nucleotide ribosomal RNA is filed under the name uncultured bacterium. Its description in RNAcentral is "bacterial SSU rRNA". It matches the Rfam family "Bacterial small subunit ribosomal RNA", at positions 334 to 636 of the family's 1533-position model. The record is from RNAcentral.